GAUCAUGGCUCAGGAUGAACGCUAGCUACAGGCUUAACACAUGCAAGUCAAGGGGCAGCAUGGUCUUAGCUUGCUAAGACUGAUGGCGACCGGCGCACGGGUGAGUAACACGUAUCCAACCUGCCGUCUACUCUUGGACAGCCUUCUGAAAGGAAGAUUAAUACAAGAUGGCACCAUGAGUCCGCAUGUUCACAUGAUUAAAGGUAUUCCGGUAGACGAUGGGGA
This 225-nucleotide ribosomal RNA is filed under the name uncultured bacterium. RNAcentral describes it as "partial 16S ribosomal RNA". It matches the Rfam family "Bacterial small subunit ribosomal RNA", at positions 15 to 231 of the family's 1533-position model. The record is from RNAcentral.